UGGCAUGAAAACUAUUACCAAUUAUUCAUCAUGCAUAUUCCUCAAUGUCUUUCCUAUUUGUAUUGUUGAUUUUUCGAUAAAGGAAAGUAGUCUUAAUACUCUAUCUCUGUGAAGAAGUAUUUAGGCAAUUUGUUUCAAAUAAGGAAAAAUGCUUUCUUUUUGGUAUGCCUUAUUUGAGGGGGAAUUUUCUUUUUAGAAAGAAAUGAGAUGCAUGAAUGUUUAUUGAUGAUGUCUCUCUUGUAUGUCAAC
RNAcentral lists this long non-coding RNA (249 nucleotides) under Nicotiana benthamiana. RNAcentral describes it as "long non-coding RNA (NBEN_LNC016767)". Lineage: Eukaryota; Viridiplantae; Streptophyta; Magnoliopsida; Solanales; Solanaceae. The record is from RNAcentral.